CCUACGGGGGGCAGCAGUGAGGAAUAUUGGUCAAUGGACGAGAGUCUGAACCAGCCAAGUAGCGUGAAGGGUGACUGCCCUAUGGGUUGUAAACUUCUUUUAUAUGGGAAUAAAAUGUUCCACGUGUGGGAUUUUGUAUGUACCAUAUGAAUAAGGAUCGGCUAACUCCGUGCCAGCAGCCGCGGUAAUACGGAGGAUCCGAGCGUUAUCCGGAUUUAUUGGGUUUAAAGGGAGCGUAGGUGGAUUGUUAAGUCAGUUGUGAAAGUUUGCGGCUCAACCGUAAAAUUGCAGUUGAAACUGGCAGUCUUGAGUACAGUAGAGGUGGGCGGAAUUCGUGGUGUAGCGGUGAAAUGCUUAGAUAUCACGAAGAACUCCGAUUGCGAAGGCAGUUCACUGGACUGCAACUGACACUGAGGCUCGAAAGUGUGGGUAUCAAACAGGAUUAGAUACCCGUGUAGUC
This 460-nucleotide ribosomal RNA is filed under the name uncultured bacterium. Its description in RNAcentral is "partial 16S ribosomal RNA". It matches the Rfam family "Bacterial small subunit ribosomal RNA", at positions 338 to 795 of the family's 1533-position model. The record is from RNAcentral.